RNAcentral lists this transfer RNA (70 nucleotides) under Cyrtodactylus brevipalmatus. Its description in RNAcentral is "tRNA-Trp". The record is from RNAcentral. Lineage: Eukaryota; Metazoa; Chordata; Lepidosauria; Squamata; Gekkonidae.
AGAAGUUUAGGUUGAACAAACCAAAGGCCUUCAAAGCCCUAAACACGAGCCCACGCCCUCUUAACUUCUG